GGCUCAAUGGUCUAGAGGAAUGAUUUCUGCUUUGGGUAGUAGUGUAAAUGCGCUUUGAUCCUCUGCAGGAGGUCCCGGGUUCGAUCCCCGGUUGAGCCC
RNAcentral lists this transfer RNA (99 nucleotides) under Pyricularia grisea. RNAcentral describes it as "tRNA-Pro". It matches the Rfam family "tRNA". From Rfam's summary of the family: Transfer RNA (tRNA) molecules are approximately 80 nucleotides in length. Their secondary structure includes four short double-helical elements and three loops (D, anti-codon, and T loops). The record is from RNAcentral. Lineage: Eukaryota; Fungi; Ascomycota; Sordariomycetes; Magnaporthales; Pyriculariaceae.